AUGCCGUCUCAGGCGAGAAAAGGAGUGGUCGCAUUAGGACGCGAGGAGGGGGAGCAGCCAACCGUGCUCAAGGCCGUCCACGGUGGCCGCAAAUCGAGGCGGCGGCUACAACUCGAAGCUGCAGAAGACGGAGGCGAAGAUGUCGAGCAUGUGGCCCUGCGCACAAGAGAAUACAGUGCAAUCCAAUUUCCUUACUCUGUAGACUCCAGAGGAAUUGCUUCUGUACUUGACAGAUUAGGAGCUGGUGUUUCAUCGCCGAAACCGGAUGCUAAAGGUGCCGGACUCCCAGCCCCCCUCCCCGCGUCAACGGUCCGCCCCGACGCCCCGGCACGUCUCCUGCUGCGGGGCGAGAGCUCCAAGGGCGGGGCUGCGCAUUCCCCCGCGGUCCAUGAGGAGCGCCCCUGCUCUAGGAGGAGCAAGCUUAAGUCCAUUGUGGUCGUGCCUCCCCCCGCCCCGCCCCUUUCUUCUCCGGGCAGCGAGGAAGACUGGACUGAGGUCAAGUCGUGGAAGGAGCGGCGCGCGCUCCAGAGGCCAGCGAGCAAGCCUGGGCGUUGUCCGUCGGGGCGGUCGGGCAGGCGCCCCGCCAUUAAUGGCGACGCGGGCCGUGCCGCCUUCUUAAGCCGCUUCGAUGGCCUGUGUUUUCGCUGCCUCAACAGUAGUCAUCGCCGUGUAGAUUGUAGAGAUCCACUGCGCUGCAUCAUUUGCAAGCUGCAAGGCCACCACGGCAGGGAGUGCCCGCAGAAUCCAAAGAACCAAGAUCGGGCGGGCAACUACACCCAGAGUCACCGCCCACCUCCCCAGUGUGGCCCGGUGAAGGAGAGACUGCGCUUCCCCAUGCCGCCACCGACAGAGUCGCCGCUGACCGCCAUGGAACGCCAGGCGUACCUCACCGACCCCUCGCGCCGCCCAAGGUCGAGCCACAAGGUGGUGGUGAUCACGCCGGCCAUGGAGCACCAGGAGUUUCUGCUUCGCAAGCAUGCGGUGCUCCUCACGGCUGCAAUGCCGCAGCACGCGACCAACCCGAUGGCGGUGGGCCGCGUGAUCGAAGAGUAG
Molecule: ribosomal RNA, 1053 nt
Filed under: Triticum aestivum (bread wheat)
Lineage: Eukaryota; Viridiplantae; Streptophyta; Magnoliopsida; Poales; Poaceae
Description: partial small subunit ribosomal RNA
Source: RNAcentral